This 1545-nucleotide long non-coding RNA is filed under the name Capra hircus (goat). RNAcentral describes it as "lncRNA (ENSCHIG00000005422.1)". Lineage: Eukaryota; Metazoa; Chordata; Mammalia; Artiodactyla; Bovidae. The record is from RNAcentral.
GGAUUCUUAACCACUGGACCACCAGAGAAAUCUGAUGCUGUAUUUUUAAUAUUAUUUUGUCCACAAAUUCUUUCUUGUGACCUCUCUUUCUUUUCCUUCCAGAAGACAACAUGGUGAAUGUUAAAGACUAUAUGAAGACUCUGAGUGACACCCAGAAACUUUCCAGUUUUAUUGGAACAGAAGAUCCUUGUAACAUUGUUAAUAGUGUCUCUGAUGGGAAAGUUGCAGUUAAAGACUUUUUAUCUACCUUGGAGAAACCUUUGAGUAAAGAACAACUUAGAAACUCUGCAACAGAUGAUUUAUAUAAAGAGAUUACAACUCUUGAAAAGAUCAGAAGUGAUAAGAUGCCUAUAAAUGAACUGAGCUCCCAAUUCUUGAGUGCUGGAGUUCCAUUAAGCAACAAGGCAUUCCAGGAGAUUCUGAAUGAAACAUCUACUGAUGGUGAGUUUUUUGAAAGAACAGUCUGUAUUGUUCUGAGCUUUAUGAAACCUUAGUUUUACUGUGUACAUGGAAUAUCUGUUGUGUAUGUGUAUAUUUUAGACAAACUAGUUCUUAGAAAUAUAAUGAGAACAUAGGCAUAUUGAAAACUAAUUAAAAUUAACUUUUUCUGGAAAUAUUCUUAAGAUAUAUCUGUUUAUCUGGCAUCAAACCUAUAAAAUGUAUAUAUCAAUAUUUAAUUAUUUAAGCUGAAUAAGUUAAUAUAAUUAGAUUUUCCCCUUUCCUUUGAGAGAACAGAUUAUGGGUAAAAGUAUACAGCAUACUAAAAAUCAGAGACAUUACUUUGCCAACAAAGGUCCGUCUAGUCAAGGCUAUGGUUUUUCCAGUAGUCAUGUGUGGAUGUGAGAGUUGGACUAUAAGGAAAGCUGAGCACUGAAGAAUUGAUGCUUUUGAACUGUGGUGUUGGAGAAAUUCUUGAGAAUCCCUUGGACUGCAUGGAGAUUCAACCAGUCCAUCCUAAAGGAGAUCAGUCCUGGGUGUUCAUUGGAAGGACUGAUGCUGAAGCUGAAACUCCAAUACUUUGGCCACCUGAUGUGAAGAGCUGACUCCUUUGAAAAGACCCUGAUGCUGGGAAAGAUUGACGGCAGGAAGAGAAGGGGAUGACAGAGAAUGAGAUGGUUGGAUGGCAUCACCAACUCGACGGACAUGGGUUUGGGUGGACGCCAGGAGUUGGUGAUGGACAGGGAGGCCUGGCAUGCUGUGGUUCAUAGGGUUGCAAAGAGUCGGACAUGACUGAGUGACUGAACUGACUGAUUUUAAAUUAAUUGGUUUUUAUCCAACUACUUUUCAGAAAUUAUAAAAUUUGCUCACCCACCUCUCUCUGUUAUGGUUAUUUAAUAAUUAUUAGCAUUUACAACUUGCCAUUUCAUAACCCUUAUACUUUACUUUUUAGAAAUUGGUGAAGUAAAUCUCAAACAAAAUUUGGAAACUUUUAACACAAGUAAGCCAGUUUCUGAAUUUAAAGAUGAGUCAAUAACUUUCCUUUUAGAUAUUUGUCGUAGUUUGCAUUGUAUUUUGUCAUUAUUAUUAUUUUUAAGUGCUGUUGUG